This is a long non-coding RNA of Oncorhynchus mykiss (rainbow trout), 1989 nucleotides long. Lineage: Eukaryota; Metazoa; Chordata; Actinopteri; Salmoniformes; Salmonidae. The record is from Ensembl.
CCCGCCCCUGUAACGGGGAUAUAAUGACAUCAUAUUCCCUUGCCCCUGUAACAAGUAUAAUGACAUCAUAUUCCCUCGCCACUGUAACGGGUAUAAUGACAUCAUAUUCCCUCGCCCCUCUAACGGGUAUAAUGACAUCAUAUUCCCUUGCCCCUCUAACGGGUAUAAUGACAUCAUAUUCCCUAAUGACAUCAUAUUCCCUUGCCCCUCUAACGGAUAUAAUGACAUCAUAUUCCCUAAUGACAUCAUAUUCCCUUGCCCCUGUAACUGGUAUAAUGACAUCGUAUUCCCUUGCCCCUGUAACGUGUAUAAUGACAUCAUAUUCCCUUGCCCCUGUAACGGGUAUAAUGACAUCAUAUUCCCUCGCCCCUGUAACGUGUAUAAUGACAUCAUAUUCCCUCGCCCCUCUAACGGGUAUAAUGACAUCAUAUUCCCUCGCCCCUGUAACGUGUAUAAUGACAUCAUAUUCCCUCGCCCCUCUAACGGGUAUAAUGACAUCAUAUUCCCCCGCCCCUGUAACGGGGAUAUAAUGACAUCAUAUUCCCUUGCCCCUGUAACGGGGAUAUAAUGACAUCAUAUUCCCUCGCCCCUCUAACGGGUAUAAUGACAUCAUAUUCCCCCGCCCCUGUAACGGGGAUAUAAUGACAUCAUAUUCCCUUGCCCCUGUAACGGGGAUAUAAUGACAUCAUAUUCCCUUGCCCCUGUAACGGGGAUAUAAUGACAUCAUAUUCCCUCGCCCCUCUAACGGGUAUAAUGACAUCAUAUUCCCUUGCCCCUCUAACGGGUAUAAUGACAUCAUAUUCCCUAAUGACAUCAUAUUCCCUUGCCCCUCUAACGGAUAUAAUGACAUCAUAUUCCCUAAUGACAUCAUAUUCCCUAAUGACAUCAUAUUCCCUAAUGACAUCAUAUUCCCUUGCCCCUGUAACGUGUAUAAUGACAUCAUAUUCCCUUGCCCCUCUAACGGGUAUAAUGACAUCAUAUUCCCUAAUGACAUCAUAUUCCCUUGCCCCUCUAACGGAUAUAAUGACAUCAUAUUCCCUAAUGACAUCAUAUUCCCUUGCCCCUGUAACGGGUAUAAUGACAUCAUAUUCCCUUGCCCCUGUAACGUGUAUAAUGACAUCAUAUUCCCUUGCCCCUGUAACGGGUAUAAUGACAUCAUAUUCCCUCGCCACUGUAACGGGUAUAAUGACAUCAUAUUCCCUCGCCCCUCUAACGGGUAUAAUGACAUCAUAUUCCCUCGCCACUGUAACGGGUAUAAUGACAUCAUAUUCCCUCGCCCCUCUAACGGGUAUAAUGACAUCAUAUUCCCUCGCCACUGUAACGGGUAUAAUGACAUCAUAUUCCCUCGCCCCUCUAACGGGUAUAAUGACAUCAUAUUCCCUCGCCACUGUAACGGGUAUAAUGACAUCAUAUUCCCUCGCCACUGUAACGGGUAUAAUGACAUCAUAUUCCCUCGCCCCUCUAACAGGUGUAAUGACAUCAUAUUCCCUCGCCACUGUAACGGGUAUAAUGACAUCAUAUUCCCUAAUGACAUCAUAUUCCCUCGCCACUGUAACGGGUAUAAUGACAUCAUAUUCCCUCGCCCCUCUAACAGGUAUAAUGACAUCAUAUUCCCUUUCCCCUCUAACAGGUAUAAUGACAUCAUAUUCCCUCGCCACUGUAACGGGUAUAAUGACAUCGUAUUCCCUCGCCCCUCUAACAGGUAUAAUGACAUCAUAUUAUGGUCACUGUAGAUCCUUUGUUGCGUCAGUCAGACCUCAUAACUAUAUCUUUCCACCAAUCCUGAAAUGUUGCAGCAUAUUCCCUCGCCCCUGUAACGGGUAUAAUGACAUCAUAUUCCCUAAUGACAUCAUAUUCCCUCGCCCCUGUAACGGGUAUAAUGACAUCAUAUUCCCUAAUGACAUCAUAUUCCCUCGCCCCUGUAACGGGUAUAAUGACAUCAUAUUCCCUAAUGACAUCAUAUUCCCUCGCCCCGCUAACAGGUGUUGA